Molecule: long non-coding RNA, 3303 nt
Filed under: Homo sapiens (human)
Lineage: Eukaryota; Metazoa; Chordata; Mammalia; Primates; Hominidae
Description: HSALNT0398398
Source: RNAcentral
AUAGACGCCGUCCUCCAUGGCGGCUAGGAAGGCCCGCGGGGAAUCCGGGGCGGUCCCGCCAGUCGGGCCUGGAUCCGCGUUGGCCCGCGGGCUCGGGUGAGCCCGCUCAAACGCCCCGGGAGCCACCGCCGCCUCCUCAGCGCCAGUCCUCAGCGCUGAAAAGACUCUUCCCUUCGUCGCCCAACCGCCCCUUCAGUAGGGACCGCCCCUCUUUUUGACACUGUCCAAUCCACAGUGGGCGCUUUCGUCCUCCCCGCCCUCGCCACCAAAGGAUCGUUCUCCAGGGCCAACAGUCGUACAAAAAGCCGGUGUAGGUAUGUCCGGCCAGAGGUAGACGGCCCGCGGGGCCAAUCGGAGUGCAGGCAGGGCAGCAGGCCCCGCCUCCGAAACAACAGAAAGCACUUGACAGGCUUGCUCUCCAAUGAGAAGCCCCGGAAAAGUGUCGCGCGGAGGCGGAGCCACGCGGUACAGCCACCUCUGCGCCUGCUCAAAGGCCCUGGACACUUGGAGUCUAGGUAAACCGAGCCCCGCCUCCGAUAAUACGUUGCUAGGGGGCGGUACUUUGUUAGUCUUGUUGCUAGGAGGCGGGGCUAGAACUGGCUUGUUUCCGUAAGCCACACCUCCUAGCAGGCCAUGCUGGCUUCUGACCGCAAAGGUUGCCAUGCAACCGGGAGCGGCUUUAGGCCUCCUUUUCUUUUGCAUUUCUUCUCCGCGUAUUUCCCCUCCUCUCAGCCCCUUCUUACCGCCGAACUCCUUCUUUAUCACCAUCUAUGCCCUCCCCAUCCCCCUCAGCCUCUUCGGAGUCGUGGAGUGGUGAAACAAAAGACUUCUUCGUUUUUUCUUUUUUUUUUUUUUUUGAGACAGAGUCUUGCUCUGUCGCCCAAGCUGGAGUGCAGUUGCGCGAUCUCGGUUCACUGCAACCUCCGCCUCCCGGGUUCAAGCAAUUCUCCUGCCUCAGCCUCCCGAGUAGCUGGGAUUACAGGGUUGCACCAUGAUGGUGCAUGCCUGGCUAUUUUUUGUAUUUUUAAUAGAGACGGGCGUUUCACCAUGUUGGCCAAGCUGGUCUCGAACUCCUGACCUCAUGAUCCGCCCACCUUGGCCCUCCAAAGUGCUGGGGUUACAGGCGUGAGCCACCGCGCCUGGCCAAGAUUUACUUUUUUCUAAAUGCUAUGCUAUUUGGUAUCGGUCAUGGGGAAUGGAACAGGGGAAGGUGAAAUUUAGUGAAAGCACAGGCUCGGCCUUCCUGGCACCUUCUGCCGCUCAGACUCCUCCCUCAUUUCUCCAAACUCCUUCCUUUAGCUUAGCAUCCUCCUAAGACUCCUCCCUUCCCCAAGCAUCCUCCUGCUAAGACAACUCCCCUUUCCUCAGCAUCCUCCCACCUCUCUGAUUCCUUCUCCCAUCUCAGAGGCCUUUUUUCCUCUCUGGCUCCCCUCACGUCACGGUCCCCCUUGUCCUCUCAUACUCUUGCCCUUUUUUUUUUUUUUUUUUUUUUUGAGACAGAGUUUUGCUCUUUUGCCCAGUCUGGAAUGAACUGGCAUGAUCUCAGCUCACUGCAACCUCCACCCACAAGGUUGACGCGAUACUCCUACCUCAGCCUCCCAAGGAGCUGGGAUUAUAGGCGCCCACCACCAUGCCCGGCUAAUUUUUGUAUUUUUAGUAGAGACGGGGUUUCGCCAUGUUGGCCAGGCUGGUCUCAAACUCCUGACCUCAGGUGAUCCACCCGCCUCAGCCUCCCAAAGUGCUAGGCGUGAGCCACCGUGCCCAUAGGCGUGAGCCACCGUGCCCAGCCACCCUUGCCCUUCUUAAACUCCUCCCUCCUCUGAGGCCCCUUCCCCUUCCCCUUCCCCAGCCUCUAUGUCCCAUUAUUUGUAACGGAAUGUGGUCAAGGGACUGGCUGGAAUAGGGAACCCAGGCACCCCUGUAAAGAGGGAAGCCGUAAUGGGGGCUGAAGUGGUGUCUGGGCCUCGUCCUCAUUUGCUGUCCCUGGGCUGGGCAGGUGGAGACGGAUUCAGGGCCAGGACCUAGUUAAGCUGUCGGAUUAGACAUGGAGGCUCCUAAUCCCCUCACUGACCUUUAUGAGUGGCCCAGGCCCUGCCCUCCCCAGUGGAAACCCAGGCUGGGCUGCCCUGCUCCCAUACUCCUUUCAAACGAAACCCCCUCCCUGCCCCUUCACUUCCAACUUAACAUCCUUCCCCAACCCUGCGUUUCCAUUGCCCCCAUCCCUACCUACCCCAGACACCCUGAGCUGAGAGAGCAGCCAGCUAAUUAAUCCCAUCCGGUUAUUACAUGGGGAUUCUGAGGGAUAAAGGGAGAUGGAGAAGCUGGAGGGGGCAUUUGGGUUGAUGCAGCACUUGUGAAGGCUGAAUGGCAAUGACAGUGGCUGCCCUCGGUCCAGAACACGGGGUGGGAACACGUCCUCCUCACUGUCACUGGCUCCCUCUGCAGUUGGCUCCCAGCCUGCGGGGCACUUAGGUAGAUGGUAGCAUGGGCAGGGGGCCAGGUCGGAGGACCCAUGCUCGAGAAACACAUUCGCAGACACAUCCGCUAGGGCUCCCAGUUCUUUAAUCUGGGGGACAGGUCUCCCCCUAAAACACUCACUCUCCCACAAUGGGAAGAACCCUGGUGUCCAGAGCUACCUCCUCCUCCCCAGGUCCCCAAGCUAGGCCAGGGAAGUGACUCUGGCUGUUAGCCACAGCCCACGCCUACCCUUGCCCUGUGAUUCAGACACCCGAGUUCAGAGCCAGCCUCCAAGAGUAUCUUACAUCCCAGCGUCUCCUGGAAGGCCGUAUGAUCCAGCACUGGGGAGAGGAGGGAAAUCCCCAGGACUCGAAUGCCCAUCCCACCCUUGGUGUAGUGAGGACUCAUCCUGCUGGAAAGGCCCCUGAAGAACUUCAAGUUCCAAUAUCCCGUUUUUACAGAUGGGGAAACUGACAUGAAGAGGAGUCCAAAGUGACACAGUCAGGCCAGAAAUGUUGCUUCUGAAGUCCUGAGUCCACCUCCUAGCACUGCCAAGCAGUCCACCUGGAGGUGAUGAGAACUUCCAGGCUUUGGUAAUGGACAACUCUGUAUCCCUGGAGCCUUCAUUCCUUUUGGCAUUACAGAACCACAAGAAGUCAUCUAGAAUCAUUGAGAUUCUCAACUCCAUUGGGCAAACUGGAACCAGCAAAAUCUCAGAUAUCUAGAAUUGCCACUGCUUCCUUGACUCUGUGAUCAGUCUACAGCCACAGAAUCCUGAUUCCCUUUGGACAUUCUAGAAUGGCACUUUAAAAAAAAACAACCCACCCAGUGGAUCCUUUCAAAGCA